This is a microRNA precursor of Chlorocebus sabaeus (green monkey), 67 nucleotides long. The record is from Ensembl. Lineage: Eukaryota; Metazoa; Chordata; Mammalia; Primates; Cercopithecidae.
UAUAGGCCGGGGCUUUGGGUGAGGGACCCCCGGGGUCUGUCACAGUCUCACCCCAACUCUGCCCCAG